RNAcentral lists this long non-coding RNA (476 nucleotides) under Mytilus galloprovincialis (Mediterranean mussel). Lineage: Eukaryota; Metazoa; Mollusca; Bivalvia; Mytilida; Mytilidae. The record is from RNAcentral.
CAAAUUAGGAACAUUGGUAGAAUUCGGCAAUAUAUCACUGAGGAUGCCUGUAAAACUUUAGUCUGCUCGCUCGUCACGUCACGCCUAGACUACGGAAACGCUCUGCUUUAUGGAGUAAAUACCAGCUUAGUCAAUAAGUUACAGCGAGUACAGAAUACGGCAGCCAGGCUUGUUACACGUACCAAGAAACAUGAUCAUAUAACACCAGUUCUUGUGUCUCUUCAUUGGAUUCCGGUGCAGUACCGAAUACAAUAUAAACUUCUUUUGUAUACUUUCAAAAUCCUGCAUGGCCUAGCGCCCGUCUAUCUUGAGGAACUCAUUAGUACCUAUCAACCAUCAAGAUCUCUUAGAUCGGAAAAUGCCAUGCAGCUUAUACAACCUCGUGUACGCACCAAAAUCUAUGGAGAAAGACGUUUCGACAAAGCUACUGCGAGUCUCUGGAACAAUCUUCCUAGCCAUCUAAGACAUGAACACUC